AGUGAACGCUGGCGGUAGGCCUAACACAUGCAAGUCGAACGGCAGCACAGUAAGAGCUUGCUCUUACGGGUGGCGAGUGGCGGACGGGUGAGGAAUACAUCGGAAUCUACUUUUUCGUGGGUGAUAACGUAGGGAAACUUACGCUAAUACCGCAUACGACCUACGGGUGAAAUCAGGGGAUCUUCGGACCUUUCGCGAUUGAAUGAGCCGAUGUCGGAUUAGCUAGUUGGCUGGGUAAAGUCCCACCAAGGCGACGAUCCGUAGCUGGUCUGAGAGGAUGAUCAGCCACACUGGAACUGAGACACGGUACAGACUACUACGGGAGGCAGCAGUGGGGAAUAUUGGACAAUGGGCGCAAGCAUGAUCCAGCAAUACCGCGUGGGUGAAGAAGGCCUUCGGGUUGUAAAGCCCUUUUGUUGGGAAAGAAAAGCAGCAGGUUAAUACCCCGCUGUUCUGACGGUACCAAAAGAAUAAGCACCGGCUAACUUCGUG
This 492-nucleotide ribosomal RNA is filed under the name uncultured bacterium. RNAcentral's name for it is "partial 16S ribosomal RNA". It matches the Rfam family "Bacterial small subunit ribosomal RNA", at positions 29 to 507 of the family's 1533-position model. The record is from RNAcentral.